UAGGAAUUUUAUCAUUUCAGAUUCUGAUUU
Molecule: non-coding RNA, 30 nt
Filed under: Rattus norvegicus (Norway rat)
Lineage: Eukaryota; Metazoa; Chordata; Mammalia; Rodentia; Muridae
Source: RNAcentral